Molecule: non-coding RNA, 550 nt
Organism: Nicotiana tabacum (common tobacco)
Lineage: Eukaryota; Viridiplantae; Streptophyta; Magnoliopsida; Solanales; Solanaceae
Source: RefSeq, a predicted model, not a curated record
UUGUUACUCUCCCUAUAAAUUUAUCACGAAGGCAAUACAAUUGUUGCAACUUCUUUUUCAUAAUCGUAGUUUUUCUUCAUUGAUCAUAAUGGGUGGAAAGAGUUCUCCAACGAUGUUUGUUUGGUUCUAGCCUUCUUACUUUAUGCAUCUGCUCUACAACUUAUGGCAAAUGAGGAGGUCAAGUCAACUGAGUUGAAUGUUUUACAACUUCCGGUAUCAAAAGACCUUGACGCCGAAAACGUUGAUGAAUUUGUUCAAUAGGUUGCCACUCGUUAUGGUAUGCCAGUUGGUCAACUUAUUUUUUCCCGUACUAUAUUACAUUAAUUAUAUUUUUUUAAGUAUACAUUUCUCCUUUAUAGGACACAACAAGCAAAUUGUUCUUUAAUCAAUUAGACAUUAAUAUAAUAGCUACCAUAAUACUAAUUAGGUGGUCAUUCGGUACUUCGGUUCGAUAUUUAAGAAUUUCGAUUCGGCAUUUCGGUAUUCGGUUUAUCAAUUGUGUAUAUCAAAUACCGUACCAAAAUAUUUCGGUACGGUUCGAUAUUUCUUA